AGUCGAACGGAGCCGGGUGCUUGCACCUGGUGGCGAGUGGCGAACGGGUGAGUAAUAUAUCGGAACGUACCUUAUCGUGGGGGAUAACGCAGCGAAAGCUGCGCUAAUACCGCAUACGCCCUGAGGGGGAAAGCGGGGGACCGUAAGGCCUCGCGCGAUUAGAGCGGCCGAUAUCUGAUUAGCUUGUUGGUGGGGUAAAAGCCCACCAAGGCGACGAUCAGUAGCUGGUCUGAGAGGACGAUCAGCCACACUGGGACUGAGACACGGCCCAGACUCCUACGGGAGGCAGCAGUGGGGAAUUUUGGACAAUGGGGGCAACCCUGAUCCAGCAAUGCCGCGUGAGUGAAGAAGGCCUUCGGGUUGUAAAGCUCUUUUGUCAGGGAAGAAACAGCAGCUCUAACACAGUCUGCGAAUGACGGUACCUGAAGAAUAAGCACCGGCUAACUACGUGCCAGCAGCCGCGGUAAUACGUAGGGUGCAAGCGUUAAUCGGAAUUACUGGGCGUAAAGCGUGCGCAGGCGGUUAUACAAGACAGGCGUGAAAUCCCCGGGCUUAACCUGGGAAUGGCGUCUGUGAAUGUAUGACUAGAGGGUGUCAAAGGGGGGUAGAAUUCCCCGUGUACCAGUGAAAUGCGCUAAAUUUUGGAGGAAAACCAAUGGGGAAGGGCGGCCCCCUGGGAUAACACUGACGCUCCUGCCCAAAAGCGGGGGGAGCAAACAGGAUUAAAUACCCCGGGAGGCCCCCCCCCAAACAAUGCCGACUAAUUGUUGGGGAAUUUUCUUCUCCGUAACCUAACUAAACCCUGA
RNAcentral lists this ribosomal RNA (806 nucleotides) under uncultured beta proteobacterium. RNAcentral's name for it is "bacterial SSU rRNA". It matches the Rfam family "Bacterial small subunit ribosomal RNA", at positions 60 to 862 of the family's 1533-position model. The record is from RNAcentral. Lineage: Bacteria; Pseudomonadati; Pseudomonadota; Betaproteobacteria.